Non-coding RNA from Caenorhabditis elegans, 21 nucleotides. NCBI's taxonomy places the organism in Eukaryota, Metazoa, Nematoda, Chromadorea, Rhabditida, Rhabditidae. The record is from Ensembl.
UUGCUUCUGCAGUAGCGUGUU